GGGAGGAUCUCAUUGAUGUCUACAAAACCCGAAAGGCGUCCCAAUGUGGGGGAAGAGAGGCUCAGCCCGUCGACUGAUCCCAGGAGUCAGGAGAUCCUCAGGAUGGUGUAUUUCCUCGGGAUGGUGGAGCUUGAGUGACUCUAGUCAAGCAUAUCUUAGUUAUGACUGGUGAAAAGUUUUCCCAUCUCUGUUUAAAGGUAUAGGCUCCAAGAAAUUCAGAGCACGUGCUCAGUAAGGGGUGGUUGCACUUUGGAGGUGGGUAGCUUUUGGGGUGGAGGUGUGUUUUGGUAUUAUAAUGAUAUUAUAAUGAGCAAAAGUACACUAGAGUACAGCAUUUGUCAAAAC
Cygnus olor (mute swan) is the source of this 345-nucleotide long non-coding RNA. RefSeq lists it as uncharacterized. NCBI's taxonomy places the organism in Eukaryota, Metazoa, Chordata, Aves, Anseriformes, Anatidae. The record is from RefSeq and is a predicted model, not a curated record. The transcript is spliced from 3 exons.